GAUGAACGCUGGCGGCGUGCCUAAUACAUGCAAGUCGAGCGAACAGACGAGGAGCUUGCUCCUCUGACGUUAGCGGCGGACGGGUGAGUAACACGUGGAUAACCUACCUAUAAGACUGGGAUAACUUCGGGAAACCGGAGCUAAUACCGGAUAAUAUAUUGAACCGCAUGGUUCAAUAGUGAAAGACGGUUUUGCUGUCACUUAUAGAUGGAUCCGCGCCGCAUUAGCUAGUUGGUAAGGUAACGGCUUACCAAGGCAACGAUGCGGAGCCGACCUGAGAAGGGGAUUGGCCACCCCGGAACUGAGACACGGUCCAGACUCCUACGGGAGGCAGCAGUAGGGAAUCUUCCGCAAUGGGCGAAAGCCUGACGGAGCAACGCCGCGUGAGUGAUGAAGGUCUUCGGAUCGUAAAACUCUGUUAUUAGGGAAGAACAAAUGUGUAAGUAACUAUGCACGUCUUGACGGUACCUAAUCAGAAAGCCACGGCUAACUACGUG
This 497-nucleotide ribosomal RNA is filed under the name uncultured bacterium. RNAcentral describes it as "partial 16S ribosomal RNA". It matches the Rfam family "Bacterial small subunit ribosomal RNA", at positions 28 to 507 of the family's 1533-position model. The record is from RNAcentral.